GACGAACGCUGGCGGCGUGCUUAACACAUGCAAGUCGAACGGUGACCCAGGGCUUGCCCUGGUGAUCAGUGGCGAACGGGUGAGUAACACGUGGGGCAACCUGCCCCUGACUUCGGGAUAACUCCUCGAAAGAGGAGCUAAUACCGGAUACGACCACUUCGGACAUCCGAUGGUGGUGGAAAGUUUUUCGGUCAGGGAUGGGCCCGCGGCCUAUCAGCUAGUUGGUGGGGUAAUGGCCUACCAAGGCGACGACGGGUAGCCGGCCUGAGAGGGCGACCGGCCACACUGGGACUGAGACACGGCCCAGACUCCUACGGGAGGCAGCAGUGGGGAAUAUUGCGCAAUGGGCGAAAGCCUGACGCAGCGACGCCGCGUGAGGGAUGAAGGCCUUCGGGUUGUAAACCGUACUUUCAGCAGGACGAAGCGAAAGUGACGGUACCUGCAGAAGAAGCACCGGCUAACUACGUGCCAGCAGCCGCGGUAAGU
Molecule: ribosomal RNA, 486 nt
Filed under: uncultured bacterium
Lineage: Bacteria
Description: bacterial SSU rRNA
Rfam family: Bacterial small subunit ribosomal RNA
Source: RNAcentral